CCGGGUAGUUAAAAAUAUUAUUUUUUAAAUUUUCUUUUUCUGAAUAAUAAUAUAUAAUCAAAAUUUUUAUUCAGAAAAAAAAAUUUUAAAAAUAAUAUUUUUAAC
This 105-nucleotide microRNA precursor is filed under the name Daucus carota subsp. sativus. RNAcentral's name for it is "sRNA DCAR_mi00085". Lineage: Eukaryota; Viridiplantae; Streptophyta; Magnoliopsida; Apiales; Apiaceae. The record is from RNAcentral.